RNAcentral lists this ribosomal RNA (1375 nucleotides) under metagenome. RNAcentral describes it as "bacterial LSU rRNA". It matches the Rfam family "Bacterial large subunit ribosomal RNA", at positions 1537 to 2925 of the family's 2925-position model. The record is from RNAcentral.
AAAAUCCGCUGUAACAAUUCUGAGGCGUGAUGGGGAAGGUCAUUAAGACCGAAGUACAUGAUUCCAUGCUUCCAAGAAAAGCAUCUAGAGAGAGAAGUAGUGCCCGUACCGCAAACCGACACAGGUAGAUGAGGAGAGAAUCCUAAGGCCGGCGGAAGAAUUGCAGUUAAGGAACUAGGCAAAUUGACCCCGUAAGUUCGCGAGAAGGGGUGCCUGCGAGAGCAGGCCGCAGAGAAUAGGCCCAAGCAACUGUUUAGCAAAAACACAGGUCUCUGCUAAAGCGUAAGCUGAUGUAUAGGGGCUGACGCCUGCCCGGUGCUGGAAGGUUAAGGGGAACACUUAGCGCAAGCGAAGGUGUGAACUUAAGCCCCAGUAAACGGCUGCCGUAACCAUAACGGUCCUAAGGUAGCGAAAUUCCUUGUCAGGUAAGUUCUGACCCGCACGAAUGGCGUAAUGACUUGGGCACUGUCUCAACUGCAAAUCCGGCGAAGUUGUAGUGCGAGUGAAGAUGCUCGCUACCCGCGAUUGGACGGAAAGACCCCGUAGAGCUUUACUGUAGCUUAGCAUUGAAUUCCGGUAUUGUCUGUACAGGAUAGGUGGGAGACUGGGAAACUAGGGCGUCAGCCUUAGUGGAGUCAACCUUGGGAUACCACCCUGACAGUACUGGGGUUCUAACAGGACGCCAUGAAGCUGGUGACUGGACAUUGUUAGGUGGGCAGUUUGACUGGGGCGGUCGCCUCCUAAAAAGUAACGGAGGCGCCCAAAGGUUCCCUCAGAACGGUCGGAAAUCGUUCGUAGAGUGCAAAGGCAGAAGGGAGCCUGACUGCGAGACCCACAAGUCGAGCAGGGACGAAAGUCGGGCUUAGUGAUCCGGUGGUACCUCGUGGGAGGGCCAUCGCUCAACGGAUAAAAGCUACCUCGGGGAUAACAGGCUGAUCUCCCCCAAGAGUCCACAUCGACGGGGAGGUUUGGCACCUCGAUGUCGGCUCGUCGCAUCCUGGGGCUGUAGUAGGUCCCAAGGGUUGGGCUGUUCGCCCAUUAAAGCGGCACGCGAGCUGGGUUCAGAACGUCGUGAGACAGUUCGGUCCCUAUCCGUCGCGGGCGUAGGAAAUUUGAGAGGAGCUGUCCUUAGUACGAGAGGACCGGGAUGGACUGACCUCUGGUGCACCAGUUGUUCUGCCAAGAGCAUGGCUGGGUAGCUAAGUCGGGAAGGGAUAAACGCUGAAAGCAUCUAAGCGUGAAGCCCCCCUCAAGAUGAGAUUUCCCAUAGCAUAAGCUAGUAAGACCCCUUGAAGAACACAAGGUUGAUAGGUCAGAGGUGGAAGUGCGGUAACGUAUGUAGCUGACUGAUACUAAUAGGUCGAGGGCUUGACCA